UACAGGGGGUGCAAGCGUUGUCCGGAAUCACUGGGCGUAAAGGGCGCGUAGGCGGCCUGAUAAGUAGGGGGUGAAAUCCUGGGGCUUAACCUCAGGGCUGCCUUAUAGACUGUCCGGCUCGAGCACAGUAGAGGCAGGUGGAAUUCCCGGUGUAGCGGUGGAAUGCGUAGAGAUCGGGAAGAACAUCGGUGGCGAAGGCGGCCUGCUGGGCUGUAGCUGACGCUGAGGCGCGAAAGCGUGGGGAGCAAACAGG
This 253-nucleotide ribosomal RNA is filed under the name uncultured bacterium. Its description in RNAcentral is "partial 16S ribosomal RNA". It matches the Rfam family "Bacterial small subunit ribosomal RNA", at positions 524 to 776 of the family's 1533-position model. The record is from RNAcentral.